This 253-nucleotide ribosomal RNA is filed under the name uncultured bacterium. RNAcentral describes it as "partial 16S ribosomal RNA". It matches the Rfam family "Bacterial small subunit ribosomal RNA", at positions 524 to 776 of the family's 1533-position model. The record is from RNAcentral.
GACGAAGGAUGCAAGCGUUAUCCGGAUUCAUUGGGUUUAAAGGGAGCGUAGGUGGACUUGUAAGUCAGUGGUGAAAUCUCCGAGCUUAACUUGGAAACUGCCAUUGAUACUGUUAGUCUUGAGUACAGUUGAGGUGGGCGGAAUGUGUCAUGUAGCGGUGAAAUGCUUAGAUAUGACACAGAACACCGAUUGCGAAGGCAGCUCACUAAGAUGUAACUGACACUGAGGCACGAAAGCGUGGGGAGCAAACAGG